This 253-nucleotide ribosomal RNA is filed under the name uncultured bacterium. RNAcentral's name for it is "partial 16S ribosomal RNA". It matches the Rfam family "Bacterial small subunit ribosomal RNA", at positions 524 to 776 of the family's 1533-position model. The record is from RNAcentral.
UACAGGGGGUGCAAACGUUGCUCGGAAUCAUUGGGCGUAAAGCGCACGUAGGCGGUUACUUAAGUCGGAUGUGAAAGCCCUUGGCUCAACCGAGGAAGUGCAUCCGAAACUGAGUAGCUAGAGUACUAAAGAGGGUCGCGGAAUUCCCGGUGUAGAGGUGAAAUUCGUAGAUAUCGGGAGGAACACCAGUGGCGAAGGCGGCGAUCUGGGAAGAUACUGACGCUGAGGUGCGAAAGCGUGGGGAGCAAACAGG